GACGAACCGUCCAAACGUUAUUCGGAAUCACUGGGCUUAAAGGGUGCGUAGGCGGAGCGGCAAGUCAGAGGUGAAAGCCCACGGCUCAACCGUGGAAGUGCCCCUGAAACGGCCUCUCUCGAGGGAGAUAGGGGCGUGCGGAACUCAGAGUGGAGCGGUGAAAUGCGUAGAUAUUCUGAGGAACACCGGUGUCGAAAGCGGCACGCUGGGUCUUUUCUCACGCUGGGGCACGAAAGCUAGGGGAGUAAACGGG
RNAcentral lists this ribosomal RNA (253 nucleotides) under uncultured bacterium. Its description in RNAcentral is "partial 16S ribosomal RNA". It matches the Rfam family "Bacterial small subunit ribosomal RNA", at positions 524 to 776 of the family's 1533-position model. The record is from RNAcentral.